UGCAGUCGAGCGGCAGCACAGAGAAACUUGUUUCUCGGGUGGCGAGCCGCGUUCGGGUGAGUAAUGCCUGGGAAAUUGCCCUGAUGUGGGCGUUAACCAUUGGAAACGAUGGCUAAUACCGCAUGAUGCCUACGGGCCAAAGAGGGGGACCUUCGGGCCUCUCGUGUCAGGAUAUGCCCAGGUGGGAUUAGCUAGUUGGUGAGGUAAGGGCUCACCAAGGCGACGAUCCCUAGCUGGUCUGAGAGGAUGAUCAGCCACACUGGAACUGAGACACGGUCCAGACUCCUACGGGAGGCAGCAGUGGGGAAUAUUGCACAAUGGGCGCAAGCCUGAUGCAGCCAUGCCGCGUGUGUGAAGAAGGCCUUCGGGUUGUAAAGCACUUUCAGUAGGGAGGAAGGUGGUAGUGUUAAUAGCGCUAUCAUUUGACGUUACCUACAGAAGAAGCACCGGCUAACUCCGUGCCAGCAGCCGCGGUAAUACGGAGGGUGCGAGCGUUAAUCGGAAUUACUGGGCGUAAAGCGCAUGCAGGUGGUUUGUUAAGUCAGAUGUGAAAGCCCCGGGCUCAACCUGGGAAUUGCAUUUGAAACUGGCAAACUAGAGUACUGUAGAGGGGGGUAGAAUUUCAGGUGUAGCGGUGAAAUGCGUAGAGAUCUGAAGGAAUACCGGUGGCGAAGGCGCGCCCCUGGACAGAUACUGACACUCAGAUGCGAAAGCGUGGGGAGC
RNAcentral lists this ribosomal RNA (723 nucleotides) under uncultured bacterium. RNAcentral describes it as "bacterial SSU rRNA". It matches the Rfam family "Bacterial small subunit ribosomal RNA", at positions 56 to 769 of the family's 1533-position model. The record is from RNAcentral.